CGUACAGCAGUGUGAACACACACAUGCACAGACACACACAUACGCACCCCAGACUGCAGUGUGACCGGCAAAGCACACGUUCCCACCGAAGUCUUCUUGUCUGUUUUUGCUUUCACCGACACGUCGCACAUUCAAGGAGAGCUGCAGGAACAGAACCCAAGGCAAUCUUCGGGAGCACAGCAAGUGUGAAGGCUCCCAGGGGCAGGAGGAGAAACGAGCGUGACGGAGAGCACGAGCGAGGGAGAAGUCAGCGCCUUACUGCAUGGAGGGGGCUCAAGUUAGAGUGCACCCGCAUGGACAGGGCGCCAGCGCCUGGUCCCAUCCCCGCCCUACUGGAAGGGUUUUGAGGGGAGCUGGGUUUGGGCACCGCCUUCCCAGCUUCACUGCCCUCUUCGGGGUCCCUUCACAGCCCCCACCCAGAGAGCUGACUCAACCCCUGUUCUGCCCACUGCCCGGAUCCCUGCACGAUGUGGUCAUCAGCACCGUCUGGGAGGAAGCGAUCCCAGGCACCAUGCGGGUGUCGGGGAGAUGUUUUCUACAGGUGUGCUCCUCGAGUAUCCGAGGUCACAGCGUGGAGUAUAUUGGAACCCACGCCACUGGAAGCCGCAAUUUGAAUUUCCUGCCACCAACGCUGCAUCCAAAUCCACACGGCAGGAAGAGAGGCGUGAAAGCUCUGAGAGUGGGAACCGGCGAACGGAGAUGAGAGCGAGACUGGCAGGGAGCCCUGCAUUGACCUGUGAAAAAGAAAAUAAAAGCACAGAAGUUCCUUACCACCUAACAAAAAUAAAAAAAAGUGUACAGGUGCCUUGCAUGAGUAAAUACUGAUGUUAAGGAACAACAUGAGAACAAAACCGCUCCCAUUAAAGUGACAAAGGAAUCCAGGAGCAGAGGAAGUGUGCUGAGCGCCCAGAGUGGAUCAGCUCUACAUGUAAGGCAGUGAGUGACAAAAGCCCCACCAUUUCCUCCUCUGUGAGCAGUGGUUAUAAGGUGGGGAAGUUGCCAGUCCCCUCGCAGGCCAGCGGUCAGGUCAGAUCUGCGUGUCCUCGGGUUCCUCAGCCUCCUCCUGGUCCUCCGUCCUUGGCAGGCAGCUGCGUAGGCAAGCACCGGGGACUGUGCCACUUUGGCUCCAACAGCGUCAUCGUCUGCACAGCGAGCACGCUUGAGCAGUUGUGUCUGAAAAGCACAGUGCGUUAAUUGGGACAGCCCUGCAGAAGUCCCUUGGAAAAGUGUGUUCCAGCCUCAUUAAAACCACUGGCUUUAUCACAGUUUGCAGUAAGGGCCAGGAAUGAACUGCUGAAUAACUUCUCAUUAACACAAAAGAAUCUGUCAUGCUGAAUCAUAAACCGCAGUCUGAGGCGUCAAUUACAGGCUUCAGAAGUGGAGGACACAGAGACUGCAGAUGCUACCACUAACAGGGACGGCCAGAGCUCCCUGGUCCCGCGUCUAUGCGCUUCUCAGGCGGGCUGUUCACAGAGCACUUACACAGAAUGAGACUCGGUUGCCCAAGGCUGUUGUAAGCGAUAAAUAACCUGUGUAGGAUCCGGUGUGUCUGUAAGGAAGGAAGCUGGGCAGACCCAGUCUGCGCUCCACCACCCGGGAAAGGCUUCUGUGACACGGGGAAAGCCAUCGUGGGAGAGUGGCCAGCUGCCAAGUCACUCCAACCAGCACUACACACAGGGCUCAGCCGUGACUGAGCUGCUUGCAAGAAACCUGCCUUUCCAGGUGAAGAGCUGGAGGCUCAGCCGGACUGAAAACUUUGCGCACCUUAGGGACAGCAUCGAGGUCCAUGCGAUCUCUCCCGCCCCAACACUCCUCAGGCUCUCUUCCCACUUUGCCAGGCAGCGCUUCUCCUGUAGAUUCCUUUAGCCAUUAGACUUGGAAGGAGAAGUAGAAAAGACAGAAUUCUCCCUUCAGGCACAAGGCUGUAAGAUGGAAGUGUUUCUCCUCUUUAAUAAACGGGAAUCCUAAACAGCGUCUACCCUUAGGGCGGAGAGGAGAAACGCAUGGUGUGAUGAACUACACCCGAUGCAGACUGAGGACACGCACAGCCCUUUCCUGGAGCCCUGACACCCGCCUUGCGGUGAGCCUGGCCUAGGAGAACAGGGACGGCAGCUCCCUGAAGUCCAUCGCUGGACAGAGGAGCUGGGGCCCCGAAGGCUUCCAACACAAGUCCACUCGGGGCCUUGCCAGACACAUGAUCUCUGCCAAGACUGCCAACUUGGCGUACUGCAGCCCGAAGUCAGCUAUGGGUCUCCCCAAAAACGAUGGCCAGGCCACGUGGGGUCCCAUAAACUUCAUUGGCACAGACAGGCACUGGGCCAGACUGGGCCUCCAGGCCUCUGCUUGCUGACUCUUGAUCCACAUCACGGGGAGCACAGGGCUGGCCCACGUGGCAGAAUUCACGUUCCAAGUUUAAAGUACUAACCAGACAUUUGUAAGACUCACUUCGUCCUGCCAUCUGGUUGCUAUCUUGCCGUUUCUUUUUUUUUUCUCGUGAAAGUAGAGACAAAAUUUUAGUUGUCUGACCGUGGGAACGCAGUCCUGCAACCUCCUCUCCAUGUAAUUAUCUUUCAAAUGGAAGGUUGGAGUAGGUCAAAAGAAUUAUGACCUCAAUCUUUAUCAGUCUCUUGUAUUGGAAUCCCCUUUACAACUCUAAUUUCCUCCUUUUUAAAAUCUAUUUUAUAAAUAUCUUCCAGGGCACCAAUUAGGCACUGAGCUGUUUCUCUUUCUCCCAUGUGUUGCUCUGUACAGAGAGAAGCUUGAUUUUCAUCAUUAAAAUUCUAUACUUAUGGAUUUUUUAAAGGAUUUAUGUUAAAACCACCAGAGCUAUAUUGGAAUUCAUAGCACAAUAUUUCCACCUUGGUUUCCACACGUAGACCCUGGUUACGUGGCCCUUUUUGGCCAUAUCCGAGUUCACUCUGGUAAUUUGAAAAUAAAGAUUUC
Long non-coding RNA from Cavia porcellus (domestic guinea pig), 2943 nucleotides. RefSeq lists it as uncharacterized. The transcript is spliced from 3 exons. Lineage: Eukaryota; Metazoa; Chordata; Mammalia; Rodentia; Caviidae. The record is from RefSeq and is a predicted model, not a curated record.